RNAcentral lists this ribosomal RNA (270 nucleotides) under uncultured archaeon. Its description in RNAcentral is "partial 16S ribosomal RNA". It matches the Rfam family "Archaeal small subunit ribosomal RNA", at positions 477 to 747 of the family's 1478-position model. The record is from RNAcentral.
CAGCACCUCAAGUGGUCAGGAUGAUUAUUGGGCCUAAAGCAUCCGUAGCCGGCGCUGUAAGUUUUCGGUUAAAUCUGUACGCUCAACGUACAGGCUGCCGGGAAUACUGCAGCGCUAGGGAGUGGGAGAGGUAGACGGUACUCGGUAGGAAGGGGUAAAAUCCUUUGAUCUAUUGAUGACCACCUGUGGCGAAGGCGGUCUACCAGAACAUGUCCGACGGUGAGGGAUGAAAGCUGGGGGAGCAAACCGGAUUAGAGACCCGAGUAGUCC